This 105-nucleotide transfer RNA is filed under the name Candidatus Heimdallarchaeota archaeon. RNAcentral's name for it is "tRNA-Asn". It matches the Rfam family "tRNA". Rfam says of the family: Transfer RNA (tRNA) molecules are approximately 80 nucleotides in length. Their secondary structure includes four short double-helical elements and three loops (D, anti-codon, and T loops). The record is from RNAcentral. Lineage: Archaea; Promethearchaeati; Candidatus Heimdallarchaeota.
GGCAUCAUAGCUCAGUUUAGGAUAGAGUUUUCUACUCUUCCUCUGAACAGGUAGAGCGUCCGGCUGUUAACCGGGUGGUCGCAGGUUCAAAUCCUGCUGGUGCCG